UAAUAAUGAUGACCUAAUUCAGUUCUGCUUCUGAAUUGUGUUGAAGAAGCUUUUACCCACACAUCUGAAGA
This 71-nucleotide small nucleolar RNA is filed under the name Operophtera brumata (winter moth). Lineage: Eukaryota; Metazoa; Arthropoda; Insecta; Lepidoptera; Geometridae. The record is from RNAcentral.